RNAcentral lists this ribosomal RNA (1003 nucleotides) under Nomimoscolex lenha. RNAcentral describes it as "eukaryotic LSU rRNA". It matches the Rfam family "Eukaryotic large subunit ribosomal RNA", at positions 71 to 618 of the family's 3401-position model. The record is from RNAcentral. Lineage: Eukaryota; Metazoa; Platyhelminthes; Cestoda; Proteocephalidea; Monticelliidae.
AGGAUUCCCCUAGUAACGGCGAGUGAAGAGGGAAAAGCCCAGCACCGAAGCCUGCGGCAGGUUUGCUGUUAGGCAAUGUGGUGUUUGGGUCGGCUCGUGGGACCACCACUCCACUCGAAGUCCAGCAUUGAGUAUGGUUACUGGAUUUGGCCCAGAGAGGGUGAAAGGCCCGUACGGUGGAGUGUCAGACAUGUGAGGUGGUUCACCAGGUCGACCUUAGAGUCGGGUUGUUUGGGAAUGCAGCCCAAAGUGGGUGGUAAACUCCAUCCAAGGCUAAAUACAAGCACGAGUCCGAUAGCGAACAAGUACCGUGAGGGAAAGUUGAAAAGUACUCUGAAGAGAGAGUAAACAGUACGUGAAACCGCAUGCAGGUAAACGGGUGGCGUCAAGCUGCAAGCCCGGAGAAUUCAGUCGGCUAGGUUGUUGUGUAUGCGCCUGGCGCAUCUAUCAGUCAGAGUAUGAUUGGGUAGUCCGCUAGUAAAUGGUGGGCCUGUCCGCAAGGCAGGAUAUGUGUACCGGGUGGGUGCCGGAGCAUGCUAUCCGUCUGUGGACUGUCUAGCCGGUGCACUUUCUCCGUGGUCAACACCACGACCGGUGGUAUUGCCAGUCUGCUGCGUCCAAGUCGCAUUUGGUAGGUCCUUGUGGCCAACCGAGUGCGAUCACAGGCAAACUCAGUAAACGGCGUGAGGGUGCUUCGGUACUUUCAUGUGUUAUCGGCUACUGGUUGUCAACGGGCCUGCUCUGUGUUUGUUGUAAUCGACAUGGGGUGGUCCGGUGGGGCAUGGUGGUAAGAAAUAACUGUGCAAGGCACUGGGGUUAUCGGCCUCAAAUGCGUCCUGCGUCCACGUUACAAGUGUAGGUACUGUGUUGCCGCUGCUUGCUCGCUGCCGGGUGUGAUUCGCGUGGUCCUGUGCAAAGUAGGCCCGCCAAUGGCUCGGUACGAGGUGGGUAGUUGGUGGCGUUGUCGAUGGCGUGGGGCGCGGUGGGCCUAAUAGUCAGUGGU